This is a long non-coding RNA of Oryzias melastigma (Indian medaka), 616 nucleotides long. RefSeq lists it as uncharacterized. NCBI's taxonomy places the organism in Eukaryota, Metazoa, Chordata, Actinopteri, Beloniformes, Adrianichthyidae. The record is from RefSeq and is a predicted model, not a curated record. The transcript is spliced from 3 exons.
CAGUGUCUCUGAUAUUCAUGUUAAACUCUGAGUUUCUCCUCACCCUCCAGUACUCUACUCAUAAACUGUUUCCUGUCUGCAGAAUCCUUCAACCACGAGAACCAACAACCAACCAUCAAUGGACCUCUCUGCUCAGCUGCCUCACAGACUCAGUUCUACCUGCUCACCGUGUCCUCCGGCUCAGGAAGGACAAAGGAACGCCGCUCACCUCCCCAUGUCAUAGACACCAUCUGCAAACCCCGGUGCAGCCUCUCCUCUCUUCGUUCUCAACCUCUCUCCAACCCCUCUGCCUGCACGCCGACUACAGAUUCAUCCCCAUCUCUAAAUCAAUCACUUCCUCACACAAGACGUGUUUCCAGCACUUGGGUCCUUCUGGCCUCGUGAAACCAUGUCAACGACUUCAACAUGGACGGAGAUUCAGUUUCUGGACAGAAGAGGCAUUGCUGCUUCUGCAGGAACUCUGCAGCUGAUCUUCAGGUUCCAGAGACGACCACCUCCACACCUGAAGUCCAAUCGGACAGGAAGUGUCGACUACAUGAAGAGAGGAGCAGUGAAGACGUCAUCAAACCCCAUCAUAUUUGACAUCGUAUUAGAAAAUAAAUGAGACGAAAUGUCA